UGGGAAUAUAACUUAAAGGUAGAGUAUCUGCUUUGCACGCAGGGAGUCACGGUUCGAUUCCGUGUAUUUCCAUC
This 74-nucleotide transfer RNA is filed under the name Raphidocelis subcapitata. RNAcentral's name for it is "tRNA-Ala". It matches the Rfam family "tRNA". From Rfam's summary of the family: Transfer RNA (tRNA) molecules are approximately 80 nucleotides in length. Their secondary structure includes four short double-helical elements and three loops (D, anti-codon, and T loops). Lineage: Eukaryota; Viridiplantae; Chlorophyta; Chlorophyceae; Sphaeropleales; Selenastraceae. The record is from RNAcentral.